Molecule: long non-coding RNA, 1851 nt
Filed under: Sus scrofa (pig)
Lineage: Eukaryota; Metazoa; Chordata; Mammalia; Artiodactyla; Suidae
Description: lncRNA (ENSSSCG00065044917.1)
Source: RNAcentral
UUUUUUUUUUUUUUUCCUCACAGCUGCACCCUUGGCAUAUGGAAGUUCCCAGUAUUAGCAAAGCUUUACAUAAAGUGGCACACUUUGAUCUACAUAUUAUCGAUGCAUAGAAUCAUUCACUCUUUCAUUGGUUAACGUUUUUGAGCAUUACUCCAAGGCACUGUGAUAGGUACUAGAGGUAUAAAGACCAAGAUAUGAUUCAUACCCUCUUAGUGUUCACAUUCUAAGAGGUGAAAAAUUUAUCUACUUGAAGUUAUGUGUAAUGUGCCAUGGGACUAUAUUUGUAGAAGGAACUCAUUCUACCUAGGGUAAUCAAGAAGGUUUCAUUUAGUAGGUAAAAAAGGUUAACAUUAAAACUGGAUCAAAAAGUAUAAAUGAUUUUUUAUUAUGCAGAGAACUUUUGCCCACCUCCCUCUCUUAAAAAAAAUUGUCAUUGAUUGCCAACAUGUUCAGAAUUAGUCCCAAGUUCAUGACCAUUAUUUAUGUAUUACUGCUUCUUAGCACUCAUUAUAAAGACAAAACUAUGCCACAAUUCGUAUUUUCUAAGAAGGGUCGUAUGAGCUAUUUCACGCAUUGGCUUUCCUAAAGGUCAUAUAAAAUAGAAGCAUUAAUUUACUUGAGUUAAUGUGGCAACAUCAUUCUAUAAAAUCAGUCUUAUUCAUGGGGCACCUACUUUGUGCUCAGGGUCUUUGCUAAAUAUUAAGGAUAAUAGACAGAUGAGACAGUACCCCUGUCCUCACUGAUCUAGCAGGAGAAACAAAUACGCAUGACUUAUAAGAAAUUAGCCUAUGCACUAUAAACUUUAUUCAACAAUCCAGUGAUUAAUUUCUUCACAUAAUACUUAAGAGCACAGAUUUUAGAGCAUAGGCUUGUUUUAUAAAUGCUCGAAGAGAAAAAGGAACUGCCUAGAGACAAGAAGUGAGAGCUGGAUAUUAGAAGGAAGGAGAAUAGGAACUACAGGUUAGUGCCCUCUUUUCUUAGUAAGAUCAUAAACGCUUCACAAAGGCAUUUUAUCUUAUUGAGUUAAAGGCACCAGCUCUGAAGUCAGACUUUGUGGAUUUAAAUUCCGUCUCUCACUAUACAACUUGGAGAUAUUACAUAACCUCUUUGUGCUUUAAUAGCCUCAUCUGUUAAACUGUGAUACUACUAUUUACUUCAUCAAGCUGUUGUGAAGAUUAAAAGUGUUGAUAUAUAUAUACUAGAUUUUAGAAUCAUGUCUGACACAAAAUAACUGUUAGUAAUUAUUAUUACUAAAUGUCGGCUUUUCCCCCUUCUAUUAUUAGCUAUAUGAUCUUAAGCAAAUCAGAUACAGUUGCCUGAUCUCAGUUUCCUCAUCUGGACCAAAAGAACAGAACUUUACAGGACCAUGAUGAAGAUUAAAUGAGAUAACAUAUUUAAGAUGAUUGGCACAUAGCAAAUGUGAGCUAAAUGUUAGUUCCCUUCCUCUCCUAAUUACCAAUUAUUUUGCUAUAUUGUAAGACAUUUUUUCUUAUUUCUCCCUUGAGUCAGGCUAUCAUCUGUCAUUUUCCUAGAAAUAUGCCUUUGUGUAGCUGUUUAAUUUGCUACAUAAAGUUUUGUGUGCAGAAGCUUUACAGCAAAGUAUAUUUUAUUAGCACAGAAGUGUCUUUAUGCUCAAUUUCUGGUUAUAGAUUGUUUUUGAAAAUUGAGUCCUAAAAAUGUUGAUCUCUAAAUUAAGACAAAGUCACUUUAAUGAUGAUUAAUUUUUUUGAAGAGUGAAACAAAUCAAGUAAAACACAAACAUUCUCAUCCUUGUAUUCUUAUCUCUAACAACAUAUUAGGAGAUAGAAUCUCGAUGAAUGGGUAUAAAAGCAGAGCAAGAAGAUUGGGGAU